UGGCGCCGGCGCACAGGUGAGUAACACGUAUCCAACCUGCCGAUAACUCGGGGAUAGCCUUUCGAAAGAAAGAUUAAUACCCGAUGGCAUAAUUAGACCGCAUGGUCUUAUUAUUAAAGAAUUUCGGUUAUCGAUGGGGAUGCGUUCCAUUAGGCAGUUGGUGAGGUAACGGCUCACCAAACCUUCGAUGGAUAGGGGUUCUGAGAGGAAGGUCCCCCACAUUGGAACUGAGACACGGUCCAA
RNAcentral lists this ribosomal RNA (243 nucleotides) under uncultured bacterium. RNAcentral's name for it is "partial 16S ribosomal RNA". It matches the Rfam family "Bacterial small subunit ribosomal RNA", at positions 90 to 334 of the family's 1533-position model. The record is from RNAcentral.